GCUCAUUAUCAUAAAGUAAACGAUAUAUAUGUACUGUUUAGCAUCACCGAUACGAAGUCUGUCGCUUCAUCGAAAGCAAACCGCAUUUUAAAUCGUUCAUAAAUCAUUAUACAUUUGAAAGGCUAUACAUUUUGUUGUAUUUGUUGCUAAAGUUUUUAACUUAAGAAUUAAUGAUCCAAUGAAAGAUCUAAGCUUCCAGGAAACAAAAAUAUAACAUUUUGAUUUUAAGCCGCCAUCUUGGAUUUUUAGCGUUUCAACGUGAAAACGCUUGUCCGAAAACGUUUUUAGCAUUGAGAACGUUUUCGUCAUAAGAUGACGUUUUCAUCCGUUUUCGUGUGGACACGGCUUGAAAACGACACUCUUUGAAAACGUUACAGCUGAAAACGCUCGAAAACGUUACCGUGUGCACAUAGUCUUUGU
Non-coding RNA from Paramuricea clavata, 420 nucleotides. The record is from the annotation of a GenBank genome assembly. NCBI's taxonomy places the organism in Eukaryota, Metazoa, Cnidaria, Anthozoa, Malacalcyonacea, Plexauridae.